Molecule: ribosomal RNA, 429 nt
Filed under: Bacteroidota bacterium
Lineage: Bacteria; Pseudomonadati; Bacteroidota
Description: Bacteroidetes bacterium partial 16S ribosomal RNA
Rfam family: Bacterial small subunit ribosomal RNA
Source: RNAcentral
UAGGGAAUCUUCCGCAAUGGGCGAAAGCCUGACGGAGCAACGCCGCGUGAGUGAUGAAGGUCUUCGGAUCGUAAAACUCUGUUAUUAGGGAAGAAUAAAUGUGUAAGUAACUAUGCACGUCUUGACGGUACCUAAUCAGAAAGCCACGGCUAACUACGUGCCAGCAGCCGCGGUAAUACGUAGGUGGCAAGCGUUAUCCGGAAUUAUUGGGCGUAAAGCGCGCGUAGGCGGUUUUUUAAGUCUGAUGUGAAAGCCCACGGCUCAACCGUGGAGGGUCAUUGGAAACUGGAAAACUUGAGUGCAGAAGAGGAAAGUGGAAUUCCAUGUGUAGCGGUGAAAUGCGCAGAGAUAUGGAGGAACACCAGUGGCGAAGGCGACUAUCUGGUCUGUAACUGACGCUGAUGUGCGAAAGCGUGGGGAUCAAACAGG